RNAcentral lists this ribosomal RNA (482 nucleotides) under uncultured bacterium. RNAcentral describes it as "bacterial SSU rRNA". It matches the Rfam family "Bacterial small subunit ribosomal RNA", at positions 385 to 858 of the family's 1533-position model. The record is from RNAcentral.
GAUGGAGCAACGCCGCGUGAGUGAAGAAGGGUUUCGGCUCGUAAAGCUCUGUUGGUAGUGAAGAAAGAUAGAGGUAGUAACUGGCCUUUAUUUGACGGUAAUUACUUAGAAAGUCACGGCUAACUACGUGCCAGCAGCCGCGGUAAUACGUAGGUGGCAAGCGUUGUCCGGAUUUAUUGGGCGUAAAGCGAGUGCAGGCGGUUCAAUAAGUCUGAUGUGAAAGCCUUCGGCUCAACCGGAGAAUUGCAUCAGAAACUGUUGAACUUGAGUGCAGAAGAGGAGAGUGGAACUCCAUGUGUAGCGGUGGAAUGCGUAGAUAUAUGGAAGAACACCAGUGGCGAAGGCGGCUCUCUGGUCUGCAACUGACGCUGAGGCUCGAAAGCAUGGGUAGCGAACAGGAUUAGAUACCCUGGUAGUCCAUGCCGUAAACGAUGAGUGCUAAGUGUUGGGAGGUUUCCGCCUCUCAGUGCUGCAGCUAACGC